CAGCAGCCGCGGUAAUACAGAGGGUGCGAGCGUUAUCCGGAAUUAUUGGGCGUAAAGAGCUCGUAGGCGGUUUGUCGCGUCUGCUGUGAAAACUGGAGGCUCAACCUCCAGCCUGCAGUGGGUACGGGCAAACUAGAGUGCGGUAGGGGAGAUUGGAAUUCCUGGUGUAGCGGUGGAAUGCGCAGAUAUCAGGAGGAACACCGAUGGCGAAGGCAGAUCUCUGGGCCGUAACUGACGCUGAGGAGCGAAAGCAUGGGGAGCGAACAGGAUUAGAUACCCCAGUAGUCCCUGUCUCUUAUAC
Molecule: ribosomal RNA, 301 nt
Filed under: uncultured bacterium
Lineage: Bacteria
Description: partial 16S ribosomal RNA
Rfam family: Bacterial small subunit ribosomal RNA
Source: RNAcentral